AAGGAAGGCCUGUCAAACUCUGGUCUUGUCUUGUUUGUGGAGAGGGAUGAAUCUGGCCAUCUUGUGUGUUUAUGGAGAAGACCAAAAGCUGCAAAGGCAAACAUUUCCAAUGAAACAGAGAGUUUGCAUGAUGGCCUUUUUCAGUUCAGGGUCAGCAAGUUCUUGUCAUGAUGAGCCCUCGCCAGCCAAAAUGGAAGACCAAAAACACAAAGAAAAUAAAUCACAGCAAGCUCCAGUCAAACCAGUCCUGUUGGGAAUGAGGAAUAAACAUGGUCUUCUUGUGCCCAAACAAAAAAGACAGAGAGCUGAAAAUUUUGACAUUUCCAUUGGGAGGAUGAAGCCAGUUGAUGAAGAUAUCAUUUCAAUGGCCACCAAGUGCUGCAUUGCUGCCUGAACCCAUCAGGUAUCUGCUGUGAAGACUGCAUUCAAGAACAGCUCUACUGCGACAGCGCAGAUGUUACAGCCUAUAAAAGAAACUUCACAACUGAACAACUGCAAGAUAGUUGUGGAGGGAAUUUUUUGGCCCAUACCUCCAACAAGAAUCAAUGACAUCUACACCAGGUGGUGUGUGAGGAAAGCACAGAGGACCAUCAGAGACUCCAGCCACCCGAACCAUGGACUGCUUUCACCGUUACCAUGAGCAGUACCCGCACCAGCAGAUUGCGAGACAAGUUUUUUCCACAAGCAAUCAGACUGAACCAAACUCGUGCCAGUAACACCACACACCCCCCACCAACCUCAUAUGUACUGCACUCUAUCACUUACACUGACUGGACUCUGACUCACUAUUAUUCUGCAC
Molecule: long non-coding RNA, 799 nt
Organism: Onychostoma macrolepis
Lineage: Eukaryota; Metazoa; Chordata; Actinopteri; Cypriniformes; Cyprinidae
Exons: 5
Source: RefSeq, a predicted model, not a curated record